AACGAACGCUGGCGGCAUGCCUAACACAUGCAAGUCGAACGAGACCUUCGGGUCUAGUGGCGCACGGGUGCGUAACGCGUGGGAACCUGCCCUUAGGUUCGGAAUAACUCCCCGAAAGGGGUGCUAAUACCGGAUAAUGUCUUCGGACCAAAGAUUUAUCGCCUUUGGAUGGGCCCGCGUUGGAUUAGCUAGUUGGUAGGGUAAAAGCCUACCAAGGCGACGAUCCAUAGCUGGUCUGAGAGGAUGAUCAGCCACACUGGGACUGAGACACGGCCCAGACUCCUACGGGAAGCAGCAGUGGGGAAUAUUGGACAAUGGGCGAAAGCCUGAUCCAGCAAGGCCGCGUGAGUGAUGAAGGCCUUAGGGUUGUAAAGCUCUUUUAACCGGGAUGAUAAUGACAGUACCGGGAGAAUAAGCUCCGGCUAACUCCGUG
RNAcentral lists this ribosomal RNA (433 nucleotides) under uncultured bacterium. Its description in RNAcentral is "partial 16S ribosomal RNA". It matches the Rfam family "Bacterial small subunit ribosomal RNA", at positions 29 to 507 of the family's 1533-position model. The record is from RNAcentral.